CACGUAGGGCGCAAGCGUUGUCCGGAAUUAUUGGGCGUAAAGAGCUCGUAGGCGGUCUGUUACGUCUGCUGUGAAAACCCGGGGCUUAACCCUGGGCUUGCAGUGGAUACGGGCAGACUAGAGGCAAGUAGGGGAGAAUGGAAUUCCCGGUGUAGCGGUGAAAUGCGCAGAUAUCGGGAGGAACACCGGUGGCGAAGGCGGUUCUCUGGGCCUGACCUGACGCUGAGGAGCGAAAGCGUGGGGAGCGAACAGG
This 253-nucleotide ribosomal RNA is filed under the name uncultured bacterium. Its description in RNAcentral is "partial 16S ribosomal RNA". It matches the Rfam family "Bacterial small subunit ribosomal RNA", at positions 524 to 776 of the family's 1533-position model. The record is from RNAcentral.